GGGCUGUAGAUGCAGGGGCAAAGAGAUGCUGAAGGGUCUGUGGUCCCCAGGCUCCUGCGGCAUGGGAAGGCAAGCCUCGGCGAGACUCUCUGGAGAGGAAGAGUCUAGGCAAGCCUCUCAUGAAAUCAAUGAGAAUCUCCCCAUUGCCAUCAAUAGCUGUUGACUCAUAACUCCAGGUCCGUUUUUAUGAAGGAAUGAGUCUGAAGUCUUCAAAGAAACCUAAGCUCUACUGAGAAUAAGCAGGAUCAAGCCUCCAUCCUCCUCAAACAUCCAAGAAAUCAGUGCAUGUUCAUCACCAGACCCAAACAAGCUUCAAGAGAACAAACUAAAGACUAAGAAUGGAAGUUACAGCACAAGGACUUCCAAGAGGUGGUGAUUUUAAGGGCAAACAGUCAACCAGUGACUUUGUUGACCUGUUUCCAACUUCUAGUAGGAAAGUUUCAAAUACUGGUCCAGAGUUGUCUUAACUUCAGGAGGGCCUGCAUUGUUUCCCUGUGUCUGGUGGGGUAACAGCUCUUUGCUGCUUUUCAAUCACCAGUCCACCUCCUGUAGAAGGCAUGUUUCCAGCCCUACUCAUCUUGUGCUGCAUGAAUGUGUUGCCAUCAGGAGUUGCUGUGGCAAGAAAGGGAUUUUGGGUUACAAUUGCUCCAGUGUCCAUUCCCUGUUUAUUCCUGAUAAUUGGC
Molecule: long non-coding RNA, 683 nt
Organism: Cuculus canorus (common cuckoo)
Lineage: Eukaryota; Metazoa; Chordata; Aves; Cuculiformes; Cuculidae
Exons: 3
Source: RefSeq, a predicted model, not a curated record